GAUGAACGCUGGCGGCGUGCCUAAUACAUGCAAGUCGAGCGAACAGAUGAGGAGCUUGCUCCUCUGACGUUAGCGGCGGACGGGUGAGUAACACGUGGAUAACCUACCUAUAAGACUGGGAUAACUUCGGGAAACCGGAGCUAAUACCGGAUAAUAUAUUGAACCGCAUGGUUCAAUAGUGAAAGACGGUUUUGCUGUCACUUAUAGAUGGAUCCGCGCCGCAUUAGCUAGUUGGUAAGGUAACGGCUUACCAAGGCAACGAUGCGUAGCCGACCUGAGAGGGUGAUCGGCCACAAUGGAAGUGAGAGACGGUGAGGACUACGAAGGGAGGCAGCAGUAGGGAAUCUUCCGCAAUGGGGGAAAGCCUGACGGAGCAACGCCGCGUGAGUGAUGAAGGUCUUCGGAUCGUAAAACUCUGUUAUCAGGGAAGAACAAAUGUGUAAGUAAAUGUGCACAUCUUGACGGCACCUGCUCAGAAAGCCACGGCUAACUACGUG
RNAcentral lists this ribosomal RNA (497 nucleotides) under uncultured bacterium. RNAcentral's name for it is "partial 16S ribosomal RNA". It matches the Rfam family "Bacterial small subunit ribosomal RNA", at positions 28 to 507 of the family's 1533-position model. The record is from RNAcentral.